UGUGAAUGAUUAGCUUGGCCAUGCUGAUAACUAAGGAAAAUGUAAGAUGAGUGCCUCCCCCAGCCGCCUAGAGCACUUAGAUUUACCCUGCUACCAACCUCCUCCAAUUCCAUGCAAAAGACAGCAGGACACUAAGACAGUUGGCCAAUGUCGGCCCUAAUAAACUUUCCAGUGCCGCGAACAACUCUCCCAUCAGCUCUAACGACUGCGCCCUGAGGAAGACGUGCCCUGGGAAACAGGGAUGGCAGAGAAGCAAUGGGAAAGAGUCUUGGAAAAGAGGUGCCUGAAAAAGACCAGAGAACCUGCUCAAAAGCAGCACAGCUGGGACCCACGCCCGGCAGGCCGCGGACAGCCUCCAUCAGAACCCCAGGCCCGCACACCAGGCCGAUUUAGAAGGACGUCCUACGCCCGAGCACCAGAACCAAAGUGUCCAGGAGGAGACGUGCCAGCAAACCACGGUGGGCGCUCCCAAGACCUCUCCGAUGUUGCUGCUGAUUUCUGACUCAACCUUGACAUCACCAUCUCUACAAGGACACUGAUGGGCCCUGACAACACCCUCCUCAGAGCUCCUCAACAUACUCUCCAAGAUUCGUGUCACUGGGUCCAUUCUACAGAUGAAGAUGAAGAAACCUAAGUUUAAAUAAAUUAAAAUCCUGUCCCAAUCCAUAGCUAAUCAGGAAAGGUGGAGAAGUAAAUGAGAUUUCAAAAUAGGAUUAACUGCUUGGAAUCUCAGUGCAGAAAAAAUCCUCUGUAUCUACUUGUAUCAGAGGAAUUAAAGGGCAUUAAUCGUCUUUAAAAAAAAAAACCUAUAAAGGAAAUUUUACAUAUAAACACUUGCUCUUGGAAGCAGAAGUGUCAGAGGUUGUAUGCUGUAUAACCAUGUUAAAAUUUUUUCCACAGAGGGAGGAAAGUGGCAGAGGAAGUGGCAGAGCACAUGCUUCGCAUGCAUGAGGUCCUGGGUUCAAUCCCCAGUACCAUCUCUAAGAAUAAACACGUGUCUUUGGAGCCCUGAGCCACCACGUUAAGAAGUGUGGUUAUCCUGAAGCUGCCCUGCUGAGGAGACCACAUAGGCAUAGUGGCCUCAGCAGCUCCAGCUGUUCAGCCCCCAGCCAUCUGAGUUUUCCUAGUCCAGACUCACAAGUGAAGGAGCCUUCAACAUGACUCCCAUCCCAUCCACCACCUGACUGCAGCCUCACGGAAGCACCCCAAGUCAGAGCCACACAGCUAAGCCAUUCCUAAAUUCUUGUCCUGCAGAAACUGAGAGAGAGAACAAAUGAUCAUGGUUUUAAGCUGAGGUGAUUUUGAUUGCUGGGAGUAAUUCGUUGUGCGGCAAUAGGAAAUCAAUAUGAGAUUCAUUACAAAAACCACUAAAAACUUUAACCUCAAAGUCAGUCAACUAUUAAUUAAAUGAGCCAGUAAAGCACCCUCCAAUCAGAUGUCUUCAGACAACCUGCAGGCCCUCUUACUCUCUACGACCUUCCUCUGCUCUGUGUUGACACUGAGCCCUCACUGCCACAUGACAGGACCCUGAAUGCACAAGGGAUCUCCAGCACCUGACACACGGAGCAGGUGAUCACUGUGGCUGUGGAAUGAACCUGUCAUAAUGCACCUGGGGGGUGAGCUGGCUGGGUUUUCCUACAGUGCUGUUCGACUUCCCAGGAUCUGCCCUUCAGCUUGACUCAGGGUCUCCUGAUAUGUGCUCACUGCUGAGUUUCUGACUCUCCAAUGACUACCUACAAAAUAACGCGACACCAAAUUUCUGGUUGGUUCAAACGUACACGUCUCACCAGAGAAACCACGCUGUCCCACUCCACGAUGCCAGCUUAGCACCCGGAGCAAAGCCGAUGAGGAGGUCCCUUCUCAGCAUUCCUGUGUGCUGAUCCUUACCAGGUGGUCUCAAACAUCAAAUAAAAGUCACUAUUUUUCACUCAAA
Long non-coding RNA from Camelus dromedarius (Arabian camel), 1933 nucleotides. RefSeq lists it as uncharacterized. The transcript is spliced from 5 exons. NCBI's taxonomy places the organism in Eukaryota, Metazoa, Chordata, Mammalia, Artiodactyla, Camelidae. The record is from RefSeq and is a predicted model, not a curated record.